This 499-nucleotide ribosomal RNA is filed under the name uncultured bacterium. Its description in RNAcentral is "partial 16S ribosomal RNA". It matches the Rfam family "Bacterial small subunit ribosomal RNA", at positions 28 to 507 of the family's 1533-position model. The record is from RNAcentral.
GACGAACGCUGGCGGCGUGCCUAAUACAUGCAAGUCGAGCGAAGUUUUUCUGGUGCUUGCACUAGAAAAACUUAGCGGCGAACGGGUGAGUAACACGUAAAGAACCUGCCUCAUAGACUGGGACAACUAUUGGAAACGAUAGCUAAUACCGGAUAACAGUAUUUCUCGCAUGAGAGAUAUUUAAAAGUUGGUUAUGCUAACACUAUGAGAUGGCUUUGCGGAGCAUUAGCUAGUUGGUGGGGUAAAGGCCCACCAAGGCGACGAUGCAUAGCCGACCUGAGAGGGUGAUCGGCCACACUGGGACUGAGACACGGCCCAGACUCCUACGGGAGGCAGCAGUAGGGAAUCUUCCGCAAUGGGCGAAAGCCUGACGGAGCAACGCCGCGUGAGUGAAGAAGGAUUUCGGUUCGUAAAGCUCUGUUGUUAGGGAAGAAUGGAUAUGUAGUAACUAUACAUGUAAGAGACGGUACCUAACCAGAAAGCCACGGCUAACUACGUG